UGCCAGCAGUUUCGGUUAAACGAUUAAUUUUGUAAAUUUUUUUUAUAUAUCUUUUUUAGCUUUUAGAAAUUAGGGUGAAAUUUAAUUUUUUAAGGUUAAUGGAUUAAUGGAAAUUUAUCUUUUGGGAAUAGGAUUAGAUACCCUUCUACUAAUUUUUCGUAAGUAGUAAUUUGAAUUUUUGAAACUUAAUUUUUAUGGCGGUUUAAAGGUUUUAUAGAGGGGCUUGAAGCGUUAUAGAUGAUCCUCUUUAAAUUAAUUCUUGUUUUUUUAUCUUUUGUAUUUUUGUAAUAUUUAAAUUUAAUGAUUUGUUGUGGGUAAAGAUUAWUUAUUAUUGCAAAUCAAAAUGUAGAUUAUAAAUAGGAGUUUUUUAGCCACUUUUUUAUUUAGUUUUAAAAUUAGUAUUUAUUAGUAAAUAGAGAAUUUUAUAUUUCUUUUGAAUUUUUAACUUUUGAUGUACAUAUCGCCCGUCGCUUUUAUUUUAGGUAAAAUAAGUCGUAACAAAGUAGA
Molecule: ribosomal RNA, 507 nt
Filed under: Demodex sp. B CB-2023a
Lineage: Eukaryota; Metazoa; Arthropoda; Arachnida; Trombidiformes; Demodicidae
Description: partial small subunit ribosomal RNA
Source: RNAcentral